CACGGGAGAACCCUCGAGGGACGCGUGCGCGGCAGAAGGGCGCUCCGAGGAACCGCGGCUGCCGAGGCCUCGGGCUUAGACUGGCGGAUGGAGAGGCCCGACAAGUUCAUUGAUGGGAAAUAUAGACAGCAAAACACCAAUUGUUAUGCCGAAGGAGAUGUUUAACCCCUUGGAAUUUGCCCUGAAAUACACAUUUUUGCAGUUUCUGUCUAGGUACUUGUUAAUAUUUGUUGAGUGAAUGAGGUUGUUGGCCAUGCCUGGAACAUGGAGUACAUAUGAAGGAAUGGCAGGACAUCUGGAGAAGAAGGUGAAGGAUAGAUACAGAUCGUGAAAGAACUCAUAUGGUAAGUUUGGACUCUAUUCUAAGGUAAUGGGGAACUAUCAGAAGAACACGAUUAGUUUUGUAUUUUAGGAAGAUAACAUGUACUUUAGGAAGAUAACGAGGCAGGGUAAGUAACAUUAGGAGGCCAUACAGACUUGUCCCCUUGUGUGAAGCCCAGUGGGCCCCUUUGGCAGCAGGCUUCUCUUGCUAGCACCCUCAUGUGUCAGCACCUAACUCUUUUGCAAGGUAAGCAGUUCUACAGGAUACCAGCCAACCGCCACGUGGUUACAAGUUUCUGAUACCUAGUACAGCCAGGGAAAGAGAACAAAAGUCCCUUAUUCCUAAUGUAACUUCCCCAAUCUCCAACCAAUCAGUACCAAAAGCCUAGGAAGCUAUUAGCUACAAAUUCUUGCCGUGAGAGCGGGGGCCAAGGACGUCUCUGGGUCUUGCAUGUACAGCUAGGCUCAAGGUUUAGCUUACAGUAACCUUUUCCUCACUUUAAUAGUAAAAAAACACCCCUAGUGGAGAUUUUAUAUACUAACAAUACAUGUGAUGUGUGUUGGAGCAUAUAGAGACCUAGCGCAUGCUCCAACUGUGGGUCCACCUGUGCCUACCGGACCUCACCAGUAUUUUAUAAAUAUUCACAUACAGAGCCCAUAAAAGGAAUUCCUCUAAUGACACUAGCUGCUAUCUUCCCUUUGAGCCUCUCAAAGGUACCCACUCUGCCUCUCAGAGAGUACUUUUGCUUUGCAAUAAACUUUUUUUGCUAACUCUUACUUUGGACUCA
This 1109-nucleotide long non-coding RNA is filed under the name Piliocolobus tephrosceles (Ugandan red Colobus). RNAcentral's name for it is "lncRNA (ENSPTEG00000016015.1)". Lineage: Eukaryota; Metazoa; Chordata; Mammalia; Primates; Cercopithecidae. The record is from RNAcentral.